CGUCGGACAGAUGAUAAAAGCAUGCAAUUAACGUCUUCUUUCUUGAAAUUUUAACGUUGAUUUCGCCGUGUAUAGACCUGGAUUAUGUGGGUUGAAUCUGCGCUUAAAGGUAAAGGAGGAGCAUUGCUUGGCUUAGACAGCACGUUUUUGUUCUCCAUUAGUCAAAUACACCCUUUUCGGACCAAAGGUGCUACAUAAAGAAGACAAUUCUUUGCAAUUGUUUUCACAACCUGGACCUCUUAAAUCCAGUUUAUAUAAGGUCCUUGGAAUUUACUUGGCAUGCUGUGGUGGUCGCAGAAAUCAUCCUGGGACAGAAACAAAUACCAAUAAUGUUCUGUCUUCUGUGUUAGUGUAAUAAAAGAUAUCCAGU
Daphnia carinata is the source of this 370-nucleotide long non-coding RNA. RefSeq lists it as uncharacterized. The record is from RefSeq and is a predicted model, not a curated record. The transcript is spliced from 3 exons. NCBI's taxonomy places the organism in Eukaryota, Metazoa, Arthropoda, Branchiopoda, Diplostraca, Daphniidae.